UCAAAAUAAAGUAUUUUCACGUGAUGACAAUCAUAAAAUUUUCAUUGGAGUAGCCACCCCCAACUUCUACCCCCUUCUUUCCUCCACUAACAAACAAAGACUUUUUUUUCUUGUUCUCCUACUCUUCAAUGGAGCUAAUCUGAGCUGCUGUGCCGUGUGAUUUUUCUCAAGAACAAACCGUGGUGCGCAUAACGUCAUCAUUGUUAUUGUUGUUGUGCUAGUUUGUUGACCUGCAUUGUCUCUUAAGAUGGAUGGUGAUCUGAUCAUUAUCAUAUAUCACCAUGGGAUUUUUUUACACCAAACCCAGAUGGAAGUUUGUCAUACAUUGGUGGCCAGACCUGUGAGUUGCCUGGAUUGGAUGUAGACACUAUUGAUGUCUUCGCAAUUCGAGACUACCACAAGUAAAUUCGUUAUGACAAGGUGACUUAGUGUUGGUGAUUGGCUCCGAAUAGGUUUCUGAAGACUGGUAUCCGAGCUCUUAUUCAUGUUGAUAAAGAGUUCAAUCAUGCCUUUGUCUCGGUUCGUGUCAACUGAAAUGCCUUUGUCUGCAUUAACACAUUAAUGGUUUGCUAUAGUGGAAUGUAAAUUUACAAGGUUUAAAAAGUAAAAACUUAUUUAUAUAGGGUCAUGGCUAGCCUCUAUUGGUUUUUCGGCAUUCGGAAGUGAUAAAUCUCAGCAUUUAUUUUAGGAUUAAAAUGAAAAUUGACAAUGCUAAUCUUAUCUUAGUCAGGAAGAUAGUUUCAAGCUUUAUAUUUUUUUCCUUUGGUCUGUCUUUUCGAUGUACUGUAAAUAUUAUACUUGCAAUUAAUUAUAAAAUAUGUAUAUCAGUUAUCACAAUCGUUCUCUCUAUUAUUUGGUAUUUUAAAGUUGAAUUCUAUUAUAAGUUUCAGGUCUGCAAGGACUCAAAAAUGUUUUCCAUGAAUUGAGAAUCCUAAAAUUUAUACCCACUAUAGCUGCACAUAGGGGGUUAAAAGAAAAGCAUAGUCCUUAUAAGCCUCUAAUCGUAAUAUUUUAUUCGCCGAGCUGUGUAACUCUAGCUUGUGACCCAAGUGGGGGCAACUAAGGUGAUGGAACAAGUGCUUCUGGCCUUGCUAGGUCGGGCUUGCAAGGGCAAAUUGUUGGCCUGCCCACUCCAAGUUGGAGUUGGGCCCGGUAGUCUGGGCGAAGGCCCAAGGCCUCUCGGCUCCUAGAAUGGAGGGCAUUGCGUGAGGCUGGCUUAACAGAGCAACAACCACUUCCUGUCCCCAACAGUGGAGGGAUUACAGGCCGCCGCUCUUCUGGCCCAAUAUGGCCUGGUAGGCCUAGCUAUCGUGGACCAUCAUUCUUUAUAAUUUUCA
This is a non-coding RNA of Arachis ipaensis, 1337 nucleotides long. The record is from RefSeq and is a predicted model, not a curated record. NCBI's taxonomy places the organism in Eukaryota, Viridiplantae, Streptophyta, Magnoliopsida, Fabales, Fabaceae.